AGUGAACGCUGGCGGUAGGCCUAACACAUGCAAGUCGAACGGCAGCACAGUAAGAGCUUGCUCUUACGGGUGGCGAGUGGCGGACGGGUGAGGAAUACAUCGGAAUCUACUUUUUCGUGGGGGAUAACGUAGGGAAACUUACGCUAAUACCGCAUACGACCUACGGGUGAAAGCAGGGGAUCUUCGGACCUUGCGCGAUUGAAUGAGCCGAUGUCGGAUUAGCUAGUUGGCGGGGUAAAGGCCCACCAAGGCGACGAUCCGUAGCUGGUCUGAGAGGAUGAUCAGCCACACGGGAACUGAGACACGGUCCAGACUCCUACGGGAGGGAGCAGUGGGGAAUAUUGGACAAUGGGCGCAAGCCUUAUCCAGCCAUACCGCGUGGGUGAAGAAGGCCUUCGGGUUGUAAAGCCCUUUUGUUGGGAAAGAAAAGCAGCAGGUUAAUACCCCGCUGUUCUGACGGUACCCAAAGAAUAAGCACCGGCUAACUUCGUG
Molecule: ribosomal RNA, 492 nt
Filed under: uncultured bacterium
Lineage: Bacteria
Description: partial 16S ribosomal RNA
Rfam family: Bacterial small subunit ribosomal RNA
Source: RNAcentral